RNAcentral lists this small nuclear RNA (320 nucleotides) under Oryctolagus cuniculus (rabbit). RNAcentral describes it as "7SK RNA". It matches the Rfam family "7SK RNA". From Rfam's summary of the family: 7SK was discovered as an abundant small nuclear RNA in the mid-70s but a possible function has only recently been suggested. The record is from Rfam by way of RNAcentral. Lineage: Eukaryota; Metazoa; Chordata; Mammalia; Lagomorpha; Leporidae.
GGAUGUGAGAGCAAACUGGCUGUGACAUCUGUCACCCCAUUGACCACCAGGGGUGAUUCGGCUGAUCUGGCUGGCUAGGCAGGUGUCUCCUUCCUCCCUCACCACUCCAUGUGUGUCCUUCUCAAAGUUAUGCAUUUGGUUAAAGAGGAUGACCAUCCCCGCUAGAGGAAGAACAGUCUUUGGCCAAGAAUCACUGCACUCCUUGGCUAGAACCUGCAAACAAGUUCUCAAAGAUGCUCUCCUGUAAAUAGUGGUAGUAAUGAUAAGUAAAUUGCAAUGGGGAGAAAAGUGGUAAGAAUUGUUGAUUUCUACCAAUCCGU